ACAAAAGCCAUAAAGAACACUAAAAGCUGCUAAACUCUUUUCGACUCACUUUUUUUUCCUAACACAUGCUCCUUUAAUUUUGGCACAUGUUUUCCCCUAAAUCAGUAUGUCAAAUGACCCCAUUACCCUUAAAAAUACAAUAAUUAGUACGUAGGGAUGCUUUAUGGGUGAGUCUCCUACGAAGGACCAAGUGGAUCCUGCUAGGGCUCAAUAUGAUGCAAAUAAGCAUGACCUAAAGGCUGACCUACGCUGGGGUCCACUAACAAGGUUGUUCGGGGAAGCGCAUGGUCGAUAGAGGCUGCUUUGCUUUCCAUCCACUCCAUACAUCCGAUGGUUGCCCCUCCUAAAAUAAGGGUGACUCAACUAGAGUUAGUGCGUACGACGUGCACUCCAAGACUUAUUGCAGAAGGAAUUGACUCGGAUUAUGCAAAUGAUGCCAGAUAUAAAGCGGUAACAUAUAAGGAGGAAGACUGUAAACAUGUACGCAGGCACUUAACAAUGACAACACAAAUGAUAACACAAAAAAUGUUUAUAUACCGGUAAUGUCAAACUAAGCCGAUACAACUUCAAAAAUAAGCUCGAAUUCUGAAAAAGUCCCCAGUAGAAUCGCCAGAGCUGUCACACCCAUUUUUAACUCCAAAAAGAAAUUAAUUUUAUCAUUUGAAAAGGUUAUUAUUAUUAAGCGACAAAAGGUGAAAAUUUAUUUUGAAAAGGACCUUUUAUAGUCAAAAUUUAGAGUCGGCACUUGGUAUAAUCUGGUGUGCUAAGUCACCAUUGGAAAAUUCUUUUCAAAAUAAUUUGACUCUUUAAAAUUAAUUUGCGAAUAGAGAUUCCGGCAAAGGAAUUUUGUUGACCGAGGUGAAGGUGUUAAGCACCCCUCAAUCCCGUGGUUCGACCAUGGUAUCUUGGUGGAGCAUAUCGACUAAUUUGACAUUACAAAUGUAUAAACCACAUAAAACACAUAAAAUAAUCAAUCAAACACAUGAAAUAAAACAAAUCCAAAAUAUAGUGUUCAGUCCAAUUAUACAGUCCCAAAAUAGAAAAAAAUGCGAAAAUGUAAAUCCUAUCCUAAACUAAUCCUAUACUAAUGCUCUACCCGACGCCUCGGGCCUUCAUCAUGAUCAUUUGCCACCAACAUGAUACGUCGGGGCAUUCUCCAGUGAAUAAAUAAAAUGAGCCUCGGGGAUUUCCCCGGCUAAAUGAAUACAUUUAAUGAAAUAUAAUAAAAAUGAAGAAAAUCACUCAAACAUAAACAUUUAUACAUUCGAUGAUUAGAAUCCUAUGAGUUGGCUAACCCAAAUCUAGAAUUUGCCUACUAGUUUCAGCCUGAAACAUGAUACUAUUAACGUUCAACAUCAACAAUGAAUCAAAAUACUAUAAUACUCACUCUUAUUGAUUUUUUGAUUUCUGACCCAAAACAACCAAAUUUAAUUAUCAAACGAGAUACCAUUUCAUCACAUAAUCCAUAAUGAAUCCACAAUCGAGGGAAUCAAACAACGAAUCAAAACAACCAACAAUUCUCAUCAUCACAUAUCAACCAACAUGAUAUUUAAUCCAAUGCACCAGAUAUCAUCAAUAAUGAAAUAAAAAGAGAUGAAAGAGUAGAAUUGGACCUCAUUUGAAGCUUCCAAACUCAAUGUUAUUCGAAUAAAGAGAGUCCGCACCUGAAAAUCUCAAACAAAACCUCCGACAAUGAACUCCCGAUUUUGACAAACCCAAAAUUUGAACUGACCUAAUAAGUUGACUGACCCAUUUUAAUUAAUAGUUUUCCUAUUGGGGUUUUGAGUCAAAAAUAGGAACUGGCGCGUGUGGGUUGCGGAUUCCUUAUGUUUAGCGAUAAUGAAGGUUUUGAUUCUCUGGUUGCUGGUUUUGCAUUUUCCAAUGAGGUUGUUUUGGUCCAACAUUGGAGCUGGCAGGAUAUUCUCUGGCGAGAAUCCGCUGAAAUAGUAACAGCGGCAUACGUUCCGAUCAAAUCUCUCUCUCUAUUUUUAUCCCUGUCAAUCUCUCUCUCAAUUUCACUAUCUAGCUAAUUUUCUUUACUCUCUUGCCUUACUCUCUUCUCUCUCCAUGUCUCUAUAUGCAUGUGUGUGUGCUGGUUAUGCAAAUUUCGAUGAGGAUAAGUGAUCUCUAUUCCAUUUUUCAGUGAGCUCUCUAUAUGUGUUAAUGGUGACUGUGUGUAGUCGAUGGGUAUGGUCUCGGUGUGUAUGGCAGCAACGAUGGAGUGUGUAUGUGAUGUUUUCUUUGGAGUGGAAAAAUGGAGAUUGUGAGUGUAUUUCAUGUGUGGAGAAGAAGCUGUGAGGUGUUUGUGUGUAUCGUCUAUAUGGCAUGAAUGAAAAUUGGGAGUAUAUGGAGAGGGGUGUUGCUAUAUGUGUUUUAUGAUGUGGGACACGUGAGUGGGGUAGGAGUAGGGGUAUGGGGUGGCGAUGAGUUGUCCAAAAUUAAUAGGAGAAGUGGUUAGGAUGAUUAAAACAAGAUAAAAUUUGUUAGAAAUUUUGUUGAGGGUUGUUAUUUUUUGUAUUUUUGUGGAGGUAUAAUCACGUGGGUGAGGGUGUAUGAUAGUAAAAAUGAAUAAAAUGGAUUUCGAGAGGAACAAAAUUAGGUGUCUACAACGGGUUUCAACUGAAUUGAAAUAGUAUUCUUCCAUUACUGGGCCCUUUCAAAUUAGGUUGCUUCAGUUGGGGAUAGAUGCUUUCGGAAGUGUUGAUUUCUACUGAUAUGCUACAAUUUUUCACUUCUUACAGUCAUUUCACAACUUGAAGUAUAGAAGUUACAAAAAUUAAGUGCACAUAUUUGCUGCUGACACGGUUCCUAGAAGGCUAACUACAGCACAGCAUAUACAUUUUCACACAGUGGCAGGAGCUGAUGAGUUUGGGAAUAUCUACUUUGGAGAUGCAUUUAAGGCAAGAGUUACCACCUUUAUAUGGCAGGGAUCACACGGCCUACAGAUCUGCCUACUUCCCAGUUAAGGCUGCGUGGAAUGAAAAAAAUGACAAGAAUAUAUGAAAUGCAAGGUGUAAAUGUCAUCCCUGUGCUCAAGUUCAUAACCCACUUUGGAGUGGAUAAAUCUACUGAGUUUUGUUUUAAGUACGCUCCAUUGAGAAUGUAAAGAAGUAUGAACCGAAGUAUACACUGAUCCACAGUGAAUUGGAUACUAAGGCGGACAAGUCUAGAAAGUAAAUGAAAGAGCGGAAGAAAAAAAUGUUGAUCCAAAUGAUUUGUUGUUUUUGCCCAACUUCAUAUUUUUAUUAGCCAUAAUCUUCUUCAGAUAUAUCUUUUGUAUAUGAAAGUGAUUCCUCAAUUUUUAUCCAUACUUGUACGGUUUAUCCUGACUCUGAUUUUCUUUAUUAUUUAUUUCUUCCCAAGUCAAUGACUGAAAAAUAGCUGAAGACACUUUGCAUUGAUACAGUUACUUCUCGUGCCACUAAGAAAAAGCCUGUUAUUCAGCAGAUAACAUUUUUGAAGGAUGUAAAAAAAGGACAAGUAGUGGCAAAGAAUCAUUCUUGUGGAGUAGCUUUUCUUGAGUUCUUGCUAUGGACAUGCACUUGUGGUUUUGACAGUUCUUAACAACAAUACUGAGACUUUCGGUCCCGAGCAUCGUCCAAGAGUGGAGUUUGCUCUUGAUAAUAUCCAAACAAUGAAGCUUCAGCAGCAAGGUUUUAAGAGGAACAAAGAAGAUUUUCACAAAAAUGACAAUACAAAUAACGGGAUACCCACAAUAAACAAUCGAGAAAAUGCAAGGCCACAGGAGAUGCAUUAUCAGUGGCAGGGAAUAGCAAAAAAGCUAAAAACAAGCAUGUCAGAGGUGCCAAAGAUGGAGAUCAACUGAAAAACAGAGGUGUUAAAGUAUCCAUCUCUGCAGAAGUAGACGAGCAAAAGAACAAAAAGAAAGGUAAAAAGCUGAGAGGGGCAAAACAAGAGCUAAAAGAUAAUCAACAAGCAACCAAGCAAGGUCACUUUGGUAGUGAAAGUUCCAAUAAUGCUGCCCUCUAAGUUGGAUGUAAAGAAGAUGUUGUAGUGAGAACAAAGAAGAGGAAGUUUGGGGAUAAAACAAAUAGAAACAAAAUAUCAGUGUACAAAACAAGAAAAGGGACAAAAAGAAAAAAGACCCCCUUGGAUGAGAUAGAGUAGACAAGCUAGAUAUGUUUAUUGAACAAUAUACAUUUAAAUUCACACACAACAUUUCGAAUCAAACCGAUGGUAACUAGUAGCUCUCUAAGCAGCUUAAGAGGUGGUUCCAAUCCUAUACCAUUCUCAAGUUCUUAUGUAGCUUAAUAUUAUGGUGAUAGUAAGAACAACUCCGUUGUCGAUUUUGGUUUGUAUUUUGUUGUAUUUCCUCCCUAAAAUAUCUAUUAACGGUUAUAAAUUUAAAAAUA
This is a long non-coding RNA of Capsicum annuum, 4373 nucleotides long. RefSeq lists it as uncharacterized. NCBI's taxonomy places the organism in Eukaryota, Viridiplantae, Streptophyta, Magnoliopsida, Solanales, Solanaceae. The transcript has 4 exons. The record is from RefSeq and is a predicted model, not a curated record.